Manis javanica (Malayan pangolin) is the source of this 4057-nucleotide non-coding RNA. The record is from RefSeq and is a predicted model, not a curated record. Lineage: Eukaryota; Metazoa; Chordata; Mammalia; Pholidota; Manidae.
GCCUAACGUAAGCAAUGGGCGGGGGAAAGGGAGUGAAUGUCAGGAAGGAUGAAGACCGAGAAGGAGGGGGAGGAGCUGACAGUGGUUGCGUCCGAGCCAACCACAAAAAAAAAAAAAAGGUAUAAAGAGGCGCGCGUGCGCACUUGCUUGCUGCCCCGGGAGCUGCCAGGCGGCGAGUGGGAGUCACGUGAUCCAGACAGCGACCGCGCCCCGCGGGGGCUUUUCGGGUGCUUCCAGGUCCCAAGCGACGCCCAGCUGAAUCAGGCCGCCGGGGGCGCGCUUCGCUGUGCUGGGGGUUAGCCUGCUGACUCCAGCCCCUUUGGAAAAAGGCUGGCGGGACUUGAGAAAGUGAUUAAGAUGCCCAACUCGUGUCCAAGUUUGCAAAGUGCUCCCCUACCUGUUUUAUUGAAGAGUCCCAUUUCUCAGGUGGGCAAGGACCCCGAGUGCUUUUCUGCCUCGCGGUUUUUGCUCGGCCGGUACCCUGCUUCUGGAAUCUUUUCCUUCUCAGCUCUCAAAGGCUCUGCUCCAGUGGCCGGUAAGCUCAGAGCCCUGGUCAGACCAGCGUCGUUAAGGUAGCGCCCUCCACACUCUGUCCUAUUGCCUGAUUUUAUUUUUUCACACCUUGUGUCACUGUCACUGACAUGAUCUUACAUUACGUAAGUGUUUACUUACCUGUCUCCUCUCACCGAAAGAAAAGUGCGUUCUGUGAGGGCCGGCAUCUUGGCAGUCUUGAUGCUGCCUGAAUCUUAAAAGUAGGGUUUAGGAAGAAAGCAGGACGCGGGCCUUGGCAGAAAGGACGUGCCAGGCAAAAGUAGGGGUCAUGGUGACACCCCAAGUUCUUCGGGGCUCACCGGCAUGGGAGGGAGGAGUAAGUAGGACACUGUCGAUCCAGUGUUAGAGGCACACAGCCUAGGCUUUACCUGUGCUGUAUGGGCACUAUAAAAACACAAUCUAUUGAUUGCAUAAUAUGAAAACAAAAAAAACUUUUUUCAGUGAUUGCAAUAGAAAAAUUAAUGUAUUUUUUUGUGGUAAGAGAUUUUUCUGAGACCUUUUCCUAACUUAAAAGAUGUAUUAGGCAGCUUGUUAGAAAACUAUGUUUUAAAGAUUUUCCCAUUUGUAAUACAUCUUGGACAUAUGCAGGUGUGUUUUCCUACAUAUAUAUAUAUAACAAUAACAAUAUUAUGCACAGCAGUAAUAGUAGUAUAACUCCAUUGGAGUUCCUGGACCCAAUUCCAAUGUAAGUAUGUGGGAGGGGAGUCUUUCGACACAUAGCCACCAAGAGAUUCUUGAACACCAAGCCGGGUGUUGGAGAAUUCAACUCAAUUCUGAUGCUGUCUCCAGGCAGAUUCCCCAGGUUAAGGUCUCCAUCCUACAAGACUGCCCCCCGCCCCCCACUCCAGGUGCCCCAGGCAGUUAACCUGUGCUUCUGACCUACCUGCUACAGAUUGGAGGUUCCCACAACUUCCCCCUCAGGUUUGAUUAAUUUGCUAGAGCAGCUCAAAUAACUCAAGAAAACACAACAGUUUACCAGUUUAAGAAAGGAUACAAGUUAACAGCCAGAUGAAGAGAUACAGACGGCAGGGCCCCAAAUACAAGAGCUUCUGUCCUUGUGGAGCUUAGGGAGGCUCCUCGGCCUGGGGAGGUCUGGUUCCCCAAGCUCGGAGGCCCGCCCACCCACAACGAAGCAGCACCGGAAAGGGCAGAGAACAAUACGCUUUUAUCAGGGUUUUUGUGAGGGCUUUAUGGCAUAGUUAUGAUUGACUAAAUUAUUGGCCAUCUGCUGAUUCAGCCUGCAGCCCCUGCCCUUGGUUGGGGAUCCAAAAGUCUCUCAUUAACAUGACAAGACACCCAUUUCUCUUUUAAGACUGCAGUGUUUUCAGGAACUGUGGAUGAAGACCAAAUAUACCUGGGAAAUACAUAUUUGGUCAUAUAAAUGACCAAAUAUGUAUUUCUUAUGACUCAUUAUAUCACAACGUAUAAUAUGUCUUAGACUUAUCUUGGACAUCUUUUUCCAUGUCAACAAUAUAGUUGCCUCGUUUCUUCUUAUUAACAGACUUAUAGCAUCCCAUGGUAUGGUUGUGUCAUAACGCAUACAACAGUUCUCUACCAAAGGACAUGUAGGUUUUCAGUGCUUUAAGACUACCACAAUGCACAUUCAGCAUUCUUAUACAUUCAUCUCUGCACACUUAUUCAAUUACUUCCUUUAUAUAAAUUCCUGAAGUAGAAUCACUUGGGGAAAACACUGUUUCUCUGUAUCCACUGGUUCUGUUGUUAUGACUACUACAAAAGUACUACGUGUUUCAGCUGAAGAAUUCUCAUUGCACAGAAGAAUGUAAGUGAAAAAUAAGUCACUCUACCUACCACAUUCCAGAUCUUCCUCGAUCCCAUAAGCAAAUACCUUGUAACCUUGGGAAACUGUGUGUAUACGUGUAUGUGUAUAUGUAUAUGUGUAACUACAUACACAUAUGACUCCCCCUUAAAGAAAAUCAUCUUUUUAUGUGCUAUCUUGCAAACUAUUUCCCUUAACAUAAUUUGGGCAUCUUUCCACAUCAGGACAUAAAUUCUUAUAAAGCAUUGUGAAUAUUACAUUGUAUGGAGUGAUUAUAAAGUAUUUAAUUGAUUCCCUCUGAGGGAAAUUAGGUGGUCUUUGGCUCUGGUGAACAAUGCUGUAAUGAACAUCCUUGCAUGUAUGUACAUGUAUGUGCAUACAAAUAUAUAUCCUCAAAAGUAGCAUUUUGGGGUCAAAAGGCAUAAUAAUUAAAUAUCUUAUAAGAGACUUCAAAAAUGCCCUUCAGAAAGGAAGCGCAAUUGGCAUUUUUUCUAUCAAGUUGAGCAUGAUUUUCUGCAGUCUUGUCAAUGGUAUUGGAAAACACUGCACUUUGCUGAUCAAGUAAGGGAAAAAAGGGUGUCUCCUUGUGGUUAUAGUUUUUGAUUAUUCCAGUGUCCCAAGCUGUCUUUGUUGUUGUUUGUUUAUUUUGUUUAUGCUUUUCCAUUGUUUUUACCUUGCAGAUUUAUUUUUAAAUAAGCACAUCUUUUACUUUAUAGCUUCUGAGUUUUGCAUCAGGCUUUGAAAGGCUUUCCACACUCCAAGAUCAUUUGUUAACUAGACUGAAUUAAAACUGAAAUGGCAGUCUGCGUUUUUCCUCACCUAUUUGACUACAGAACAGAAAUGUCAAAACAAUGCAUGAUACCAGGAACUUCUCAUGUUAUAUAAUGCAUGUUCUCAUCACCGGCAACAAAAGCGUACUCAUAGACCAAUUACUGCCAGAAAAGUUCAAAGUUAUACUUACGGGCACGAGCCAAGAGACAUGAGAAAAGACAAAGAAUAUUUAUUGUCAAGUCCAAAAGGGUAAUACAAAUAACUAGAUAAAAUAAAAUAAAUCUUUUAUUUAACGUUUAACAGCAUACAAGUCAGCAAACAUGUUUAAAUAAGAGCAAUGUUUUUGUGUGUUUUAACAUAUCACCUGUUCAAGUUUAGGACCCAUGUGGACACAAUAAAUGCACCCUUGAGUCCAUGCCUGCAUUUCAGUUCUGUUGCAGUAGAAUAUGGCAAGUCCUCUUCUGCACAUGGAGAUUUUAGCAAACCAGAGAACUCCGUUUGCCCAUUUUGCUGCCUUAGGCACUGACUUCAAAAGUUAUGCACCACUUCAUCUUAAAGGCCCCUAUCUUUUCAUGUAUUUAUUGGUCAUUUGUCUUCUUUGGAGAAAUGUCUAUUCAGGUCCUCUGCCCAUGUUUAAAUGGGUUGUCUUUUUAUUACUGUAUUGAGUCAUCAGGUUUCUUUAUACAUUCGAGAUACCAGUCCCUUAUCAGAUACAUGAUUUGCAUGUAUUUUCUCCCCUUCUGUGUGUUGUCUUUCUACUUUCUUGAUAGUGUCCUUGCAGGCACAGAAGUGUUUCAUCUUGAUGUAAUACAGUUUAUCUUUUUUCUUCUGCUGCUUACACACACAUCCUUUUUUAAAGUGAGCUAAAAUCCAUGUAAAAUGACACUAACCAUUUUGUAUAUGUUUGAAAAAAACAAUUUUGUCACAAAGAUACAAGUAGCAUCUUUAAAAAAAAAA